Molecule: microRNA precursor, 201 nt
Filed under: Zea mays
Lineage: Eukaryota; Viridiplantae; Streptophyta; Magnoliopsida; Poales; Poaceae
Description: MIR1435 microRNA precursor family
Rfam family: MIR1435 microRNA precursor family
Source: Rfam by way of RNAcentral
UAGCUUUGUCUUAAGUCAAACUUCUUUAACUUUGACCAAGUUUUUAGAAAAAUAUAGUAGCAUCUACAAGUUCAAAUAAAAAUGCUCCAUCAAAACAGAUUUCAUAUAAAAAAUGACGGAACUAAUUUGAUGUUCUAAAUGUCGGUGGAUUUUCUAUAAAAUUGGUCAAAGAUGAAAAAGUUUGAAUUAGGAACAACAGAA